GCACACUUUAGCAAUAACACCUUGCCCUGCCACACCCCCACGGGCCCACAGCAGUGAUUAAUAUUAAAUAUAAGCGAAAGCUUGAUUUAGUUAGAGUAAUACUUAGGACUGGUAAAUUUCGUGCCAGCCACCGCGGUUAUACGAAAAGCCCAAAAUAGUGACUUACGGCGUAAAGCGUGGCUAGAUGUAAUUAAAACUAAGGAUAAACCUUUUCUUUGCUGUAAAACGCCUAAGACAAAAUGAAUAACAACCCUUAUAUUUAUUAACUCCACGAAAGCUAAGAUACAAACUGGGAUUAGAUACCCCACUAUGCUCAGCCCUAAACCUAGAUAACUAUUUACCACUUAUCCGCCAGAGAACUACAAGCAAAGUACUUGAAACUCAAAGGACUUGGCGGCAUUUCAUAUCAACCUAGAGGAGCCCGUCCAAUAAUCGAUAAUACACGUUUAACCUUACCAUUUUUGGCCCCUCCAGCCUAUAUACCGCCGUCGUCAGCUAACCUUGUGAAAGAAUAAAAGUAAGCAAAAUAGCCCCCACUAAAACGUCAGGUCAAGGUGUAGCUCAUAAAAUGGAUGCGAUAGGCUACAUUUUCUUUUUUAGAAAACACGAACAUUACAAUGAAACCUUGUAAAAGAAGGCGAAUUUAGAAGUAAACUAAGACAUGAUUCUUAAUUUAAUACCGUCUGAAAUGCGCACACACGGCGC
RNAcentral lists this ribosomal RNA (705 nucleotides) under Chamaesaura aenea. RNAcentral's name for it is "partial 12S ribosomal RNA". It matches the Rfam family "Bacterial small subunit ribosomal RNA", at positions 316 to 1395 of the family's 1533-position model. The record is from RNAcentral. Lineage: Eukaryota; Metazoa; Chordata; Lepidosauria; Squamata; Cordylidae.